RNAcentral lists this ribosomal RNA (478 nucleotides) under uncultured bacterium. Its description in RNAcentral is "partial 16S ribosomal RNA". It matches the Rfam family "Bacterial small subunit ribosomal RNA", at positions 28 to 507 of the family's 1533-position model. The record is from RNAcentral.
GAUGAACGCUGGCGGCGUGCCUAACACAUGCAAGUCGAACGGAGUCCAGCCUUAGAGCCCUUCGGGUCAAAGAGGGGAAGACUGAGUGGCGGACGGGUGAGUAACACGUGGGCAACCUGGCUCAUAGAGGGGGAUAACAGAGAGAAAUUUCUGCUAAUACCGCAUAAGCACACACUGCCGCAUGGCAGAGUGUGAAAAGAGAAUCGCUAUGAGAUGGACCCGCGUCUGAUUAGCCAGUUGGCAGGGUAAGAGCCUACCAAAGCGACGAUCAGUAGCCGAUUUGAGAGGAUGAACGGCCACAUUGGGACUGAGACACGGCCCAAACUCCUACGGGAGGCAGCAGUGGGGGAUAUUGCACAAUGGGGGGAACCCUGAUGCAGCGACGCCGCGUGAGUGAAGAAGUAUUUCGGUAUGUAAAGCUCUAUCAGCAGGGAAGAUAAUGACAGUGCCUGAAUAAGAAGCCCCGGCUAACUACGUG